RNAcentral lists this ribosomal RNA (253 nucleotides) under uncultured bacterium. RNAcentral describes it as "partial 16S ribosomal RNA". It matches the Rfam family "Bacterial small subunit ribosomal RNA", at positions 524 to 776 of the family's 1533-position model. The record is from RNAcentral.
UACGUAGGGGGCAAGCGUUGUCCGGAUUUACUGGGCGUAAAGCGCACGCAGGCGGUGGAUUAAGUUUGGUGUGACAGUUGGUGGCUUAACUGCCAAAGUGCUUCGAAAACUGAUCGACUUGAGGGCUUCAGAGGGACACGGAAUUCCGGGUGGAGUGGUGAAAUGCGUAGAGAUCCGGAGGAACACCGCAGGCGAAGGCAGUGUCCUGGGGAGUACCUGACGCUCAGGUGCGAAAGCCAGGGGAGCGAACGGG